RNAcentral lists this ribosomal RNA (538 nucleotides) under Phenoliferia psychrophenolica. RNAcentral describes it as "partial large subunit ribosomal RNA". It matches the Rfam family "Eukaryotic large subunit ribosomal RNA", at positions 82 to 626 of the family's 3401-position model. Lineage: Eukaryota; Fungi; Basidiomycota; Microbotryomycetes; Kriegeriales; Kriegeriaceae. The record is from RNAcentral.
AGUAACGGCGAGUGAAGCGGGAAGAGCUCAAAUUUGUAAUCUGGCACUUUCAGUGUCCGAGUUGUAAUCUCGAGAAGUAUUUUCCGCGCCGGACUGCAUACAAGUCUGUUGGAAUACAGCGUCAUAGUGGUGAGAACCCCGUAACUGAUGCAGAUGCCCGGUGCUUUGUGAUAUACUUUCGAAGAGUCGAGUUGUUUGGGAAUGCAGCUCAAAUUGGGUGGUAAAUUCCAUCUAAAGCUAAAUAUUGGCGAGAGACCGAUAGCGAACAAGUACCGUGAGGGAAAGAUGAAAAGCACUUUGGAAAGAGAGUUAACAGUACGUGAAAUUGUUGGAAGGGAAACGCUUGAAGUCAGACUUGCUAUUUGGAAUUCAGCCGCAAGGUGUACUUUUCAAUUCGCAGGCCAGCAUCAGUUUUUGGGGGUGGAAAAGGGUAGAGAGAAGGUAGCAGUUUCGGCUGUGUUAUAGCUCUUUGCUGGAUUCAUCCUUGGGGACUGAGGAACGCAGCACGCUUUUUGCAAGGCUUUCGAGCUUUUCGUGC